AGUGAACGCUGGCGGUAGGCCUAACACAUGCAAGUCGAACGGCAGCACAGUAAGAGCUUGCUCUUACGGGUGGCGAGUGGCGGACGGGUGAGGAAUACAUCGGAAUCUACUUUUUCGUGGGGGAUAACGUAGGGAAACUUACGCUAAUACCGCAUACGACCUACGGGUGAAAGCAGGGGAUCUUCGGACCUUGCGCGAUUGAAUGAGCCGAUGUCGGAUUAGCUAGUUGGCGGGGUAAAGGCCCACCAAGGCGACGAUCCGUAGCUGGUCUGAGAGGAUGAUCAGCCACAGUGGAAGUGAGACGCGGUCCAGACGCCUACGGGAGGCAGCAGUGGGGAAUAUUGGACAAUGGGCGGAAGCCUGAUACAGCCAUAUCGCGGGGGUGAAGAAGGCCUUCGGGUUGUAAAGCCCUUUUGUUGGGAAAGAAAAGCAGCAGGUUAAUACCCCGCUGUUCUGACGGUACCCAAAGAAUAAGCACCGGCUAACUUCGUG
This 492-nucleotide ribosomal RNA is filed under the name uncultured bacterium. RNAcentral describes it as "partial 16S ribosomal RNA". It matches the Rfam family "Bacterial small subunit ribosomal RNA", at positions 29 to 507 of the family's 1533-position model. The record is from RNAcentral.